This 483-nucleotide ribosomal RNA is filed under the name uncultured bacterium. RNAcentral describes it as "partial 16S ribosomal RNA". It matches the Rfam family "Bacterial small subunit ribosomal RNA", at positions 29 to 507 of the family's 1533-position model. The record is from RNAcentral.
AUUGAACGCUGGCGGCAGGCCUAACACAUGCAAGUCGAGCGGCUGCAGGGAGCUUGCUCCUGGAUUCAGCGGCGGACGGGUGAGUAAUGCCUAGGAAUCUGCCUGGUAGUGGGGGAUAACGUCCGGACAUGGGCGCUAAUACCGCAUACGUCCUGAGGGCGAACGUGGGGGAUCUUCGGAUCUCACGCUAUCAGAUGAGCCGAGGUCGGAUUAGCUAGUUGGUGGGGUAAAGGCCUACCAAGGCGACGAUCCGUAACUGGUCUGAGAGGAUGAUCAGUCAAAUGGGAACUGAGAGAGGGUGCAGAAGUGUAGGGGCGGCAGAAGGGGGGAAUAUGGGAAAAGGGGAGCAAGCUUGACUAAGCAAGAGGGGGUGGGUGAAGAAGGCCUGCGGGUGGUAAAGCAUUUUUGUUGGAAAGAAAAGCAGCAGGUUAAUACCACGCUGUUCUGACGGUACCCAAAGAAUAAGCACCGGAUAGAUUCGUG